This is a long non-coding RNA of Phyllopteryx taeniolatus (common seadragon), 4137 nucleotides long. RefSeq lists it as uncharacterized. The transcript has 2 exons. The record is from RefSeq and is a predicted model, not a curated record. NCBI's taxonomy places the organism in Eukaryota, Metazoa, Chordata, Actinopteri, Syngnathiformes, Syngnathidae.
CACAGUCAUGCCUACGGGCAAUUUAGAGUCUCCAAUUAAUGCAUGUUUUUUGGGAUGUGGGAGGAAACCAGAGUGCCCGGAGAAAACCCACGCAGGCACGGGGAGAACAUGCAAACUCCACACAGGCGGGGACGGGGAUUGAACCCCGCACCUCAGAACUGUGAGGCUGACGCUCUAACCAGUCGGCCACCGUGCCGCACCCCAAUUCCAAUUAAACAUCAAUAAAAAAAGAAAAAAAUGAUUUGCAAAUCAUGUUUGACCUAUAUUUAAUUGAAUAUACUACAAAGACAAUAUAUUUAAUGUUCAAACUGAUAAACUUUAUUGUUUUUAGCAAAUAAGAAUUUAAUGGCUGCAACACGUUCCAAAAAAAGCUGGCACAGGUGGCAAAAAAAGACUGAGAAAGUUGAGGAAUGCUCAUCAAACACCUGUUUGGAACAUCCCACAGGUGAACAGAAGGAGAAGAAUAAUCAUAUUUUAUUGUCAUGAACAUGCACAUGAAAUUUCUUCUCUGCAUUUAACCCAUCACAGUGAACACAUACACGUUAGUGGAACACACUGGAGCAGGAGGCAGCUGAAGCGCCCGAGGAGCAUUUCUGGGUAUCAGUGUCUCGCUCAAGGACACCACAGCCGUGAGUCCGGGGGACGUUGGCGGAUGGUCCAGUCGGGGUCUUGAACCUUGGUCCCCCACAGUGGCAGGCGAUGAGCUUAACCAUUGGGCCACGGCUGCCCAAUUAAGGCUAAUUUGGGAACAGGUGGGUGCCAUUAUUGGGUAUAAAAGGAGCAGUCAUUCACAAGCAAAGUUGGGGCGAGGUUCACCUGUUUGUGAACAAGUGCGUGAGAAAAUAGUCGAACAGUUUAAGGCCAAUGUUCAUCAACGUACAAGUGCAAGGAAUUUAGGGAUUUCAUCAUCUACGGUCCAUAAUAUCAUCAAAAGUUUCAGAGAAUCUGGAGAAAUCACUGCAUGUAAGCGGCAAGGCCGAAAACCAACAUUGAAUGCCCGUCACCUUCGAUCCCUCAGGCGGCACUGCAUCAAAAACCGACAUCAAUGUGUAAACGACAUCACCACAUGGGCUCAGGAACACUUCAGAAAACCAAUGUCAGUAAAUACAGUUCGGCGCUACAUCCGUAAGUGCAACUUGAAACUCUACUAUGGAAAGCAAAAGCCAUUUAUCAACAACACCCAGAAACGCUUCUCUGUGCUCGAGCUCAUCUAAGAUGGAUUGAAGCAAAGUGGAAAAGUGUUCUGUGGUCCAACGAGUCCACAUUUCAAAUUGUUUUUGAAAAUUGUGGACGUCGUGUCCUCAGGGCCAAAGAGGAAAAGAACCAGCCGGACUGUUAUGGAAUUGUCCGGAAUGUUAUGAACGCAAAGUUCAAAAGCCAGCAUCUGUGAAGGUAUGGGGCUGUGUUAGUGCCAAUGGUAUGGGUAACUUACACAUCUGUGAAGGCACCAUUAAUGCUGAAAGAUACACACACGUUUUGGAGAAACAUAUACUGCCAUCCAAGCAACGUCCUUUUCAUGGAUGCCCCUGCUUAUUUCAGCAAGACAAUGCCAAACCACAUUCUGCACGUGCUACAACAGCGUGGCUUCGUAGUAAAAGAGUGCGGGUACUAGACUGGCCUGCCUGCAGUCCAGACCUGUCUCCCAUUGAAAAUGUGUGGCGCAUUAUGAAGCGUAAAAUACGACAACGGAGACCCUGGACUGUUGAACAGCUGGAACUCUACAUCAAGCAAGAAUGGGAAAGAAUUCCACCUACAAAGCUUCAACAAUUAGUGUCCUCAGUUCCCAAACGUUUAUUGAAUGUUAAAAGAAAAGGUGAAGGUGGUAAACAUGACCCUUCCCCAGCUUUUUGGGAACGUGUUGCAGCCAUAAAAUUCUAAGUUAAUGAUUACUUGCUAAAAACAAUAAGGUUGAUCAGUUUGAAGAUUACAUAUCUCGUCUUUGUAGUGUAUUCAAUGAAAUAUAGGUCAAACAUGAUUUGCAAAUCAUUGUAUUCUGUUUUUAUGUAUUGUUGAAGGAUGGUAUCUCUCCGCCAGUCCUUCGCGUGUUCGUUGAAUUUCGGAUGAUGAAAAUGUUGGAGUCCGAAUCAGAGACUGGAAAUGAAUUUCUUUAAGAUCUUUUAUUGCAGAAUAUUCUGGGUGCAAAUGUUCUACAGGCAAAGGCUGCAGCUGCACAAAAUGUGCUCAAAUGUGCGCUUUCUCAGCGUUUAGUGCGAGAUUAUAUACAGUGUUCAGGGCGGUGUUUAAAGCUUGAGCAGGAUGGAUCCAAGGUCACAGCAUUAUCUCUUCUUGGGACAAAACAUCCUGUUUUGCGGCUGACGUAGUUUUCACAGUUACGUGAUUAUCAGAACAUUUUAAUACUGAGGUUAGGUUACACAACGGCGGCACGGUGGGCGACUGGUUAGAGCGUCAGCCUCACAGUUCUGAGGACCUGGGUUCAAUCCCCGGCCCCGCCUGUGUGGAGUUUGCAUGUUCUCCCCGUGCCUGCGUGGGUUUUCUCCGGGCACUCCGGUUUCCUCCCACAUCCCAAAAACAUGCAUGAAUUGGAGACUCUAAAUUGCCUGUAGGCAUGAGUGCGAAUGGUUGUUUGUUCCUAUGUGCCCUGCGAUUGACUGGCAACCAGUUCAGGGUGUACCCCGCCUCCUGCCCGAUGACAGCUGGGAUAGGCUCCAGCACGCCCGCGACCCUAGUGAGGAGAAGCGGCUCAGAAAAUGGAUGGAUGGAGGUUACACAACAUAACAGUGCACAAAUAAGUCUAUGUAUGAUCAUGACAUCAGUAUAUCACGUGUGAGGGCCUUCAGUAUGUUUAACACAACGUCCCAACUUCAUUGGAAUUGGUCCCUCACGUACCUUGUUUUGUAAUCUGACAUUGAUCUCCUGUUUGCUGAAAAACGUGAUAUGUUUCAGAGAAAAUAAAUUCAUACACAAUCAAAUGAGCAAAACAUUCCUUGAAAGGUGUAAAAUGACUUUACCACUUACCAAAGAUAGUGAUUUUAAACCGGUCUAUUUUAAGUGUAACUGUACACAAGCAUCAACUAAUCAAGAAAAUUAUACUGUGGCCAUAAUGACUCCAAAUCAUCACUUUGUCACAUAGGAAGGGACUUAGCUGUGCAACGCUUACAGUGACACCAUUGCGUAAGGAUGAAGAGGCUCAUAAAUCAGUUUCCUUACGGUACAAUAAUACACUGUCUUGAUUUUUACUUAACUGCACUAUUAACCCUCCUCAAGCAGUAAGAUCAAUGCUACAUGGCAGAUUCCAUUCUUUGCGAUCUUGACACACCUGUAAUCAAUUCUGCUCAUGAUGUAAUGCAAAAUGUUUAAAACAACAAUAGUGUGCAGUGUCUAAAGUUGGACUGAUAAUGGCACUGACCAUCUGUUUGGAAUCCGUUAUGAUCCAGGAAGUAACUUGCUAACAAAUGAACAGAUGGACACAAGGAAAUACACCCUUUGGGUUUAUUGGAAAAGCAACAAUAACACAUUUCUCUUUUUCUUUUCAUUCCAAAUUCAACCAGGCUUGAUAUUUCCUCACGAGAUUUUAUGAGUGAUUUAAAAAACAACAAACCUAAUUAUUUAGUUUAUACUUCAAGGUAGAACCACAGAGAGCUUUUUUAUGGUGUCACAGUUGUGGUUGGUCAGCUGAUAUGACACGUCCAUUUAAUAAAGGAUCAAGGCUCAAAGGAGCCUCCUAUGUGGUAUAGAUCCUGUCAGUUAGUUUAGAUAGAGAAGAUGGAGACAGCGCUCGUAAGUGGUUACUAUAUGAUAGAGAAGAUGGAGACAGCACUGGGUCGCGGGCGUGCUGGACCCUAUCCCAGCUAUCUUUGGGCGAGAGGACACCAGCCAAUCGCAGGGCACAUAUAAACAAACAACCACCCACACUCACAUUCACACCUAACGGCAAUUUAGAAUCUUCAACCAACCUACCACUGAUGUUUUUGGGAUGUUGGAGGAAACUGGACUGCCUGGAGAAAACCCACCCAGGCACAGGGAGAAAAAUGCAAACUCCACACCAGCUGGGCCUGGAUUUGAACCCCAGUCCUCAGAACUGUGAGGCGGAUGUGCUAACCAGUCGCCCACCGUGCCGCGACACAAUACAUAUAUCCUGUAUACAUAUUAAAAAAAAAUAAAAAUCAUAUUCUUUCA